GAUUAACGCUGGCGGCGUGCAUGAGACAUGCAAGUCGAACGGACGAGUGGGCUUGCUCACUCGUUAGUGGCGGACGGCUGAGUAACGCGUAGGUGACCUGCCCCGAAGUGGGGAAUAACUGCCCGAAAGGGUGGCUAAUACCGCAUGUGGUGCCACGUUCAUUCGUGUCUCCAAAGCCGCAAGGCGCUUCGGGAGGGGCCUGCGUCCGAUUAGCUCGUUGGUGGGGUAAUGGCUCACCAAGGCGACGAUCGGUAGGUGGUCUGAGAGGACGAUCACCCAGACUGGGACUGAGACACGGCCCAGACUCCUACGGGAGGCAGCAGUCGGGAAUUUUGCUCAAUGGGCGCAAGCCUGAAGCAGCAACGCCGCGUGGGGGAUGACGGCCUUCGGGUUGUAAACCUCUUUUCCCGGGGACGAUAAUGACGGUACUCGGGGAAUAAGUCACGGCUAACUACGUGCCAGCAGCCGCGGUAAUACGUAGGUGACGAGCGUUGUCCGGAUUUACUGGGCGUAAAGAGCGCGCAGGCGGUCGUACAAGUCGAGUGUGAAAUCCCCCGGCUCAACUGGAGAACGUCGCUCGAUACUGUUCGACUUGAAGGCGGGAGAGGGAAGCGGAAUUCCCGGUGUAGUGGUGAAAUGCGUAGAUAUCGGGAGGAACACCAGUGGCGAAGGCGGCUUUCUGGCCCGUUCUUGACGCUGAGGCGCGAAAGCUAGGGUAGCAAACGGGAUUAGAUACCCCGGUAGUCCUAGCCGUAAACGAUGGACACUAGGUGUUGGUGGUAUCAACCCCGCCAGUGCCGAAGCUAACGCAUUAAGUGUCCCGCCUGGGGAGUACGGCCGCAAGGCUA
RNAcentral lists this ribosomal RNA (848 nucleotides) under uncultured bacterium. Its description in RNAcentral is "bacterial SSU rRNA". It matches the Rfam family "Bacterial small subunit ribosomal RNA", at positions 28 to 896 of the family's 1533-position model. The record is from RNAcentral.